This 799-nucleotide ribosomal RNA is filed under the name Blastacervulus eucalyptorum. Its description in RNAcentral is "eukaryotic LSU rRNA". It matches the Rfam family "Eukaryotic large subunit ribosomal RNA", at positions 86 to 909 of the family's 3401-position model. Lineage: Eukaryota; Fungi; Ascomycota; Dothideomycetes; Asterinales; Asterinaceae. The record is from RNAcentral.
ACGGCGAGUGAAGCGGCAACAGCUCAAAUUUGAAAUCUGGCGCCUUCGGUGCCCGAGUUGUAAUUUGUAGAGGGUAGCUCGAGCCCGCCCCCGUCUAAGUCCCCUGGAACGGGGCGUCGUAGAGGGUGAGAAUCCCGUAUGCGACGGGGUGGCGUGCUCGUGUGAGCUCCCUUCGACGAGUCGAGUUGUUUGGGAAUGCAGCUCUAAAUGGGAGGUAAAUUCCUUCUAAAGCUAAAUACCGGCCAGAGACCGAUAGCGCACAAGUAGAGUGAUCGAAAGAUGAAAAGCACUUUGGAAAGAGAGUUAAAAAGCACGUGAAAUUGUUGAAAGGGAAGCGCUCACGACCAGACUCGGGCGCGGCUGCUCAGCCGGUCUUCUGACCGGUGCAUCGGUCGCGCCCGGGCCAGCAUCGGUUCGGGCGGUCGGAUAAAGGUCUCGGGAACGUAGCUCCCCUCGGGGAGUGUUAUAGCCCGGGGCGCAAUGCGGCCUGCCCGGACCGAGGAACGCGUUCGCUAGGAUGCUGGCGUAAUGGUCGUUAGCGGCCCGUCUUGAAACACGGACCAAGGAGUCUACCAUCUGUGCGAGUAUUAGGGUGUCAAACCCUUGUGCGUAAUGAAAGUGAACGGAGGUGGGAACCCUCGGGUGCACCAUCGACCGAUCCAGAUGUCCUCGGACGGAUUUGAGUAAGAGCACCGCUGGUGGGACCCGAAAGAUGGUGAACUAUGCGCGGAUAGGGUGAAGCCAGAGGAAACUCUGGUGGAGGCUCGCAGCGGUUCUGACGUGCAAAUCGAUCGUCAAA